This 540-nucleotide ribosomal RNA is filed under the name uncultured bacterium. RNAcentral describes it as "bacterial SSU rRNA". It matches the Rfam family "Bacterial small subunit ribosomal RNA", at positions 8 to 523 of the family's 1533-position model. The record is from RNAcentral.
AGAGUUUGAUCCUGGCUCAGAACGAACGCUGGCGGCGUGCCUAACACAUGCAAGUCGAACGUGAUUAGAGAGCUUGCUCUUUAUGAAGGUGGCGCACGGGUGAGUAACGCGUAGAUAAUCUACCUGAUGAUCCGGGAUAACACUUCGAAAGGGGUGCUAAUACCUGAUAAGCCCACGGGGUCUUCGGACUCUGCGGGAAGAGGGGGGGACCUUUAUCGGCCUUCCGUCAUCAGAUGAGUCUGCGUACCAUUAGCUAGUUGGUAGGGUAAAGGCCUACCAAGGCGACGAUGGUUAGCUGGUCUGAGAGGAUGAUCAGCCACACUGGAACUGAGACACGGUCCAGACUCCUACGGGAGGCAGCAGUGGGGAAUUUUGCGCAAUGGGGGAAACCCUGACGCAGCAACGCCGCGUGAGUGAUGAAGGCCCUUGGGUCGUAAAGCUCUGACAGAGGGAAAGAAGUGUAGAGUGGCUAAUAUCCACAUUACUUGACGGUACCCUCAAAGGAAGCACCGGCUAACUCCGUGCCAGCAGCCGCGGUAA